RNAcentral lists this long non-coding RNA (3169 nucleotides) under Selaginella moellendorffii. Its description in RNAcentral is "long non-coding RNA (SMOE_LNC000745)". Lineage: Eukaryota; Viridiplantae; Streptophyta; Lycopodiopsida; Selaginellales; Selaginellaceae. The record is from RNAcentral.
AGUUUGUGGAGGUGGUGGAGCGAUUCAUGGGAACUGACAGUGAGCAUUUGAGGAUUAACGUGAAGAAGCUGAGCGAGGAGGCUCGUAGAGCAGUGUCUAGUGGUGGCUCCUCGUAUGAAAACCUGGAGAGAUUUGCUCAAGCAGUGAAAAUUUCCUAAACUUCAAUCCACGGCUAAGAGAAAACUUCAAAGCAUCUACUCUACUCAAGAAUAUACUACUCUUUCUCUCUCUCUCUGAAGAUAAGCACGCGCUUUGCGCGUAUAAUGGGUUCCAAGAUCAAUGUUGUGGCGAUUCCUUUCCCCUCUCCACUCUUGCAUCUCUGCCAAGCUCUCACUUUCAUCCUUUGGGGGAUGCUAUCUCGAAAACACGCAACCACGAGGGAAUGUGUUAGACUUUGUCAUGUGCAAGAACCCAUGGCUAAUGUGUUAAUGUAGACUCCAAGGUGAUGCCUUAUGUCAGAAACUGCUGCGAGGAAAAGAAACUAAAGAAAAACAAAGAAAAAAUAAUAAGUGUAAAGUUCUGGAGUUAAAAAGGAAUCACAUGAGGAAACUUGAUAAAAGAAUUAAACACUAAAAAAUGAAAAAACAAAGUGAAAAAAGCUGAAGAGUAAGGAACAGCUUAUAGAAAUACUAACAAGAUUGGAAGAGCUCUAGAGGCCAGUUAUAAUGGCCAUUUGUCUCAAGUUGGUCCCUGGCAUAGAGCCCGAGUUCCUGGAGGCUUUCAAGGCUCUCCUUGAAAGUGAUCAGCUUUGGAUUGGUUGUGAGCUGGGCUCCUCAACUGGAAAUCCUCCAGCAUCUUUCCACAAGCUGCGAGAGUGUAUCUUCAGCAGUGCCAAUCCUUUGCUGGCCAUGAGUUGCCAAGCAGAAUCUCAACUGCAAGCUUAUAGUGGAAGACUGGAAGAUCGAUCUUAAGUUCUCGCCCAUGAGAUAUCCUCGCAAGGUGGUGGCAGGGACGAGUUUGUGGAGGUGGUGGAGCAACUCAUGGGAGCUGCGAGUGGCAAUUCCUUUAGAUGUAAUGUGAAGGAGCUCAGCGAGGCUGCUCAGGGAGCAACAGUGAAAGAAGGCAGGAUCUUCAUAUGAAAGUUUGGACAAGUUCGUCAAGUUUCAUAAGGUAAUUUAUAUCCAAUGCCGCAGCUGGUGGCAGGACGAUCAUCGGGCAUGAGGGCGGGGCCAAUGCACAGACAGACCAACCACCAAGAGCACAUAAAGAUGAUACUUGAAAGUGUAUAGGUUGGUGGAAGUGUUAUUUUCCUUCCCAAAGAAAUAGAUGGCGUAAUCAAGAGGAGUAAAACAUUCCUGAAGGAGAACACUAGAUUAAAACCUUUGCAAAACGCACUGAUUCUUAAGCUCAGCCUUGGAGCGAUUUCAAGCUUAUCCAGAAAAGGUAUUGUGAGAAACGGCAGCACCUUCCAGAGCACUCACGAAGUAAGCUUGAAUUUUCUUUGUUCUUCGUCAAUGGGUUCUUCUACUGGUGCCGAGGGGCUCGCUCCUCACGCAGCGGUUCUUCCCAUUCCAACGCUACGCCACAUCACUCCAUUCCUCCAUCUCUCCAGAGCUCUGGCCUCGCGAGGCUUCGUCAUAACUUUCAUCAACACGGAGGGCAACCACAGGGACUUGAAGGACAUCGUUUCACAGGAGGAGAGCUUUGGCUAUGGCGGCGGCAUUCGCUUCGAGACGGUCCCGGGCAUCCAAGCGAGCGACGUCGACUUCGCGGUCCCGGAGAAGCGGGGGAUGUUGUCCGAGGCAGUGAUGGAGAUGCAGGCUCCAGUGGAAAGCUUGCUCAUCAGGAACAUGGCCAGAGACGAUGAUCUCGUUCCUCCGGUCUCGUGCUUCAUCUCGGAUAUGUUCCCGUGGUCCGCGGAAGUAGCAAGAAGGACUGGAAUCCCAGAGGUCAAGUUCUGGAUCGCCAGUGCCUCUUGCGUUUUGCUCGAUUGCUCGUUUCCGCGAAUGCUGGAGAAGGGAGACGUUCCAGUCCAAGGUAAAGCUUCUUUCUUCUUUUUUAUUUGUCCUUCUUUCGAGAAGCACUAACGUGUUCCGCCAGAUCGUUCCAUUGAAAAGUACAUCACUUACGUAGACGGCUUGUCACCACUGCCAAUCUGGGGCCUCCCGCGCGACCUUUCUGCCAUUGACGAAUCAAGAUUCGCUGGCAGAUACGCUAGAGCCAAGAGCUUCGCCACAACGUCGUGGGUUUUGGUCAACUCGUUCGAAGAACUCGAGGGCAGUGCCACCUUCCAAGCCCUCCGAGACAUCUCUCCCAAAGCAAUCGCUGUGGGUCCUCUUUUCACCAUGGCCCCCGGCUGCAACAAGGCAAGCUUGUGGAAGGAAGACACCGAGAGUUUAUCCUGGCUCGGCAAGCAAAGUCCCGGCUCGGUUCUCUACAUUUCCUUGGGCACCAUCGCGACUCUCAGCUUCGAUCAGUUCAAGGAGUUCUCCGAGGGACUGAGGCUUCUCCAGCGUCCGUUUAUCUGGGCCAUCCGACCCAAGUCGGUCGCCGGCAUGGAGCCCGAGUUCCUGGAGCGUUUCAAGGAGGCCGUGAGGAGCUUUGGACUGGUUGUGAGCCGGGCUCCUCAGGUGGACAUCCUCCGCCACCCUUCCACGGCUGGAUUUCUCAGUCACUGCGGCUGGAACUCCAUCCUCGAGAGCGUAGCAUCCGCGGUGCCCAUGCUUUGCUGGCCGUGCGUCGCGGAGCAGAAUCUAAACUGCAAGUUGAUAGUGGAGGACUGGAAGAUCGGUCUCAAGUUCUCGUGCGUGACCAUGCCGGAUCCUCCCGAGGUGAUGGCGAGGGACGAGUUUGUGGAGGUGGUGGAGCGAUUCAUGGGAACUGACAGUGAGCAUUUGAGGAUUAACGUGAAGAAGCUGAGCGAGGAGGCUCGUAGAGCAGUGUCUAGUGGUGGCUCCUCAUAUGAAAACCUGGAGAGAUUUGCUCAAGCAGUGAAAAUUUCCUAAACUUCAAUCCAAAGCUAAGAGAAAACUUCAAAGCAUCUACUCUAUUCAAGAAUAUACUACAGUUCUUUCUCUCUCUCUCUGAAGAUAAGCACGCGCUUUGCGCGUAUAAUGGGUUCCAAGGUCAAUGUUGUCGCAAUUCCUCUCCCAGCUCAAGGCCACAUCUCUCCACUCUUGCAUCUCUGCCAAGCUCUCACUUUCAUCCUUUGGGGGAUGCUAUCUCCGAA